Molecule: non-coding RNA, 96 nt
Organism: Mycena capillaripes
Lineage: Eukaryota; Fungi; Basidiomycota; Agaricomycetes; Agaricales; Mycenaceae
Source: the annotation of a GenBank genome assembly
UCCCUCUUAGCUCAGUUGGUAGAGCGCGUCACUAGUAUUUUCUCCUAGAAGAGGUGUUAAAUGACGAGGUCAGUCGUUCAAAUCGGCUAGCGGGAA